Molecule: ribosomal RNA, 157 nt
Filed under: uncultured bacterium
Lineage: Bacteria
Description: partial 16S ribosomal RNA
Rfam family: Bacterial small subunit ribosomal RNA
Source: RNAcentral
UGAGGAAUAUUGGUCAAUGGACGCAAGUCUGAACCAGCCAUGCCGCGUGAAGGAUGAAGGCCUUCUGGGUUGUAAACUUCUUUUAUGUGGGAAGAAACCUCUGAUUUCUAUUAGAGUUGACGGUACCAUAGGAAUAAGCACCGGCUAACUCCGUGCC